RNAcentral lists this ribosomal RNA (427 nucleotides) under uncultured bacterium. RNAcentral's name for it is "bacterial SSU rRNA". It matches the Rfam family "Bacterial small subunit ribosomal RNA", at positions 355 to 774 of the family's 1533-position model. The record is from RNAcentral.
UGGGGAAUAUUGGACAAUGGGGGCAACCCUGAUCCAGCAAUACCGCGUGUGUGAAGAAGGCCUUCGGGUUGUAAAGCACUUUAGGCGGGGAAGAAGGUUAUUAUUUUAAGAGAUAGAUAACUUGACGGUACCCGCAGAAUAAGCACCGGCUAACUCUGUGCCAGCAGCCGCGGUAAUACAGAGGGUGCAAGCGUUAAUCGGAAUUACUGGGCGUAAAGGGCGCGUAGGUGGUUGUUUAAGUGAGGUGUGAAAUCCCCGGGCUUAACCUGGGACGUGCAUCUUAUACUGGGCAACUGGAGUGCAAUAGAGGGUAGUGGAAUUUCCGGUGUAGCGGUGAAAUGCGUAGAUAUCGGAAGGAACACCAGUGGCGAAGGCGGCUGCCUGGAUUGACACUGACACUGAGGCGCGAGAGCGUGGGGAGCAGACA